Molecule: non-coding RNA, 45 nt
Organism: Schistosoma margrebowiei
Lineage: Eukaryota; Metazoa; Platyhelminthes; Trematoda; Strigeidida; Schistosomatidae
Source: Rfam
AUCCAUCUGACAAGUCUCAAAUAAGACGAAACGCGCGUCCUGUAU